GCUGGGGUCGCCUAGUCCGGUAGGGCGGCAGCCUGCUAAGCUGUUCUCCCAAAAGGAGUCGAGGGUUCAAAUCCCUCCCCCGGCG
This 85-nucleotide transfer RNA is filed under the name Microcaldota archaeon. RNAcentral's name for it is "tRNA-Ser". It matches the Rfam family "tRNA". Rfam says of the family: Transfer RNA (tRNA) molecules are approximately 80 nucleotides in length. Their secondary structure includes four short double-helical elements and three loops (D, anti-codon, and T loops). RNAcentral also lists the same sequence under 3 other names. The record is from RNAcentral. Lineage: Archaea; Nanobdellati; Microcaldota.